GUGUCAGCCGCCGCGGUAAUACGAAGGGGGCUAGCGUUGCUCGGAAUCACUGGGCGUAAAGCGCACGUAGGCGGACUCUUAAGUCGGGGGUGAAAGCCCAGGGCUCAACCCUGGAACUGCCUUCGAUACUGGGAGUCUUGAGUAUGGUAGAGGUUGGUGGAACUGCGAGUGUAGAGGUGAAAUUCGUAGAUAUUCGCAAGAACACCAGUGGCGAAGGCGGCCAACUGGACCAUUACUGACGCUGAGGUGCGAAAGCGUGGGGAGCAAACAGGAUUAGAAACCCUGGUAGUCC
RNAcentral lists this ribosomal RNA (292 nucleotides) under uncultured bacterium. RNAcentral describes it as "partial 16S ribosomal RNA". It matches the Rfam family "Bacterial small subunit ribosomal RNA", at positions 505 to 796 of the family's 1533-position model. The record is from RNAcentral.